Long non-coding RNA from Bos grunniens (domestic yak), 2151 nucleotides. Lineage: Eukaryota; Metazoa; Chordata; Mammalia; Artiodactyla; Bovidae. The record is from Ensembl.
CAUGGAAAAAAGAUAAGCUAAAGCCUUGAGAUUUAGCAUUUGAUCAUUAGUACUGCCUCUAAACUAAGAUUUUAGCCAAACUAUUCCACCUUCAUUAGGUCUCAUUUUCCUUAUCUUUUAAAAAUAAGGAUUUUUUUGAUUGAUGAGUGGUCUGGUUUUAUAAAAGUACUUAGCAAUUAUAAUAUAUAUCUGAAUAAUCUUGUAAUAUAUAUCUGAAUAAUCUUGUAAUCCCUCGAAGAAGGCAGUGGCACCCCACUCCAGUGUUCUUGCCUGGAGAAUCCCAGGGACAGGGGAGCCUGGUGGGCUGCCGUCUAUCGGGUCGCACAGAGUCGGACACGACUGAAGCGACUUAGCAGCAGCAGCAGCAGCAAUCUUGUAAUCCCUACCUUAAAAUAAAUAUUUUUCUAUAGAUGAUAAAAUUUCUAAAUUUAUCAGUUAGGUCAUCUAGUACAUGAAUUAAAAAUUUCAUGAUAUAGAUUUUGUCUUAUCACACUAAAGCAUCAUAAUGCACUUUUACCCCACAGAAAGUUUGUAUUGGAAAAUAAGAACAUAGUGGUACAAUCUCUUAACUUUGAGAGAAGUACCAAGUUAGAGUCAAAAUGAAUUAUUCCUUUUUUCUGCUGUGUGGUUCUGUAGGUUGAGGUUGAGAGCAGGCAGGCUGGAAAAGUGCCCUAGGGUGAAUGAAAGGUGGUAUGUUAAUAAAUAAAUGGGCAUGAUACUUCCCAAGUUUAGACAAUACUCAUGUUAAAUGAGAAUUCUAAGUCUGGAUGUAUCCUUGUGGAAAUCUAGAACAGAUAUGAGUCAGAUAUCAUAUGGGAUUAAUAUGUUAUAAAAUAAUAUAUAAAGUAUUGAUCCUCCUGAAUCACUCUCAUUUUCAGGUCAUUAGGAAUUUUGUUGGGAUAAUCCUCCAAAUGAAUUUGAAGCAUUCUAUUCAAAUGGUUAUUUAUCAUUAAAAUGGCAUUGUAAAGUGAUGACUCAGAAGUUAACAGAGUUUGUGGCUGCUUCUGAGAAAGAAAACUCUUGAUGUCAGGUUCUGAAAAGUGAAGAGAAUGAAAUACAGAAUAUGGUAAGUGACUUGCAGAUAAACUAUUUCAGCCUCAUCUCAUCUUAUGCUCCAUUGUGCAGUUAUCAUUUGUAAGGUGUAUACAUAUAAAUGCAUACUUGUGGUAGUCACUGUUGCAAUCAGUUGUAAAAUAUGACCACAGUUGAAUCAAACUCCGUCUUCUCCUUUACAUUUAUUUGGAUAAACUUGAUGUAACAGACACUUGGCUAUCAAACAUGACAGGAGAUUUUUACUCUGAUUUUUAACUGGGGAAAAUUCGAGAUGGUUUGUAAGAUUGGGACACUCAUAUUUGUGCUUUGGUAACUGUGGAGUUAUAUGAGAUAAUGUUUAGGGUCAAGAUCUUGCUUUACAAAAGAGCAAAGACAUCAAUUUCUUAAAAUCUGGUUAUACUUGUUAUUCAAACUAUUCAACAUUGACAUGCAGCAGUUAAAAUAUAUAUAUAUAUGUGUGUGUUGAUGCUUACAAGGCUUGUUAAAAAGUAGUUUACAAAAAGCAAGUUGGUUUUACUGAGUUUAUAGAACCCCUAGUGUUUGGGGUUAUUCUCUUUUCUUGUUGUGUUUUCUAUAAUGAGUGAAGGUCCUUUCCUCAUUCUAUUCAGAAGAUACUCUGUGGGGCUUCUUAAUGGAUGAGUUAUAGGGGGUUGAAAGAACGAAGGAAAGACAGAGGAAGAGUGUUGCAGAGCCAUUUCUGGAGCAUGCGUAGAGACAUGCUGACGCUCUGUGCUCUCCUCAGUCCUCACCAUCCCACCCCACCCAAAGCCCAGUGAAUUUGUCCAUGCUCAUGGUGACAGCAGCAUGAACUAGAUUUUUCCUGGGAUAGUUUCCUAGAAACUACCAAUUGAUCUCAUUUUAUUUAGUUAGGGUCAUUCUUUUAGACUAGAAUUUCUUAAAUCAGGAUCAGAGAGUAAGCUUUAUAUAAGGUUAUUAGCAAUCCCUCUGAAAUAAUAUGUAGUAUACUGUAUGUAUAUUCUUUUAUCCUGUGGAGAUGAUCAAUAGGUUUUUAUCAAUUUUUUAAAGGAUCUUGAUGACACAAAAAGUUUUUAUCUAGCAUGGUUCUAUUAAUUUACAACAGUUGUGAUUAAAUAAUUU